Molecule: long non-coding RNA, 3179 nt
Filed under: Citrus x clementina
Lineage: Eukaryota; Viridiplantae; Streptophyta; Magnoliopsida; Sapindales; Rutaceae
Description: Citrus clementina (C. clementina) long non-coding RNA (CCLE_LNC006390)
Source: RNAcentral
CGCCCGCAAAGUCUGGGGCCAUUCCGAGCCCGGCGGACGAACUUCGCCGACGCCCCCCACCAAGGCUAUAGCCCACCCAUUUUUUGGCCAUUUUUCCGCUGGGGGGUCUUGGCGCCCCGACCUUCGGGGGCUGAUUUUUGGCGCGGCUGUGGCCGUGGCCUAAUUUUGGCACACGGAGGCCGCCCGCAAAGUCUGGGGCCAUUCCGAUCCCCGGCGGACGAACUUCGCCCACGCCCCCCACCGAGGCUAUAGCCCAUCCGUUUUUUUGCCAUUUUUCCGCUGGGGGGUCUUGGCACCCCGACCUUCGGGGGCUGAUUUUUGGGCGCGGCUGUGCCCGUGGCCUAUUUUUGGCACACGGAGGCCGCCCGCAAAGUCUGGGGCCAUUCCGAGUGCGGCGGACGAAGUUCGCCCACGCCCCCCACCAAGGCUAUAGCCCACCCAUUUUUUGGCCAUUUUUCCGCUGGGAGGUCUUGGCCUCCCGACCUUCGGGGGCUAAUUUUUGGGCGCGGCUGUGGCCGUGGCCUAUUUUUGGCACACGGAGGCCGCCCGCAAAGUCUGGGGCCAUUCCGAGUCCGGCGGACGAACUUCGCCCACGUCCCCCACCAAGGCUAUAGCCCACCCGUUUUUUGGCCUUUUUUCCGCUGGGGGGUCUUGGCGCCCCGACCUUCGGGGGCUGAUUUCUGGGUGCGGCUGUGCCCAGAAAUCAAUUUUUGGCACACGGAGGCCGCCCGCAAAGUCUGGGGCCAUUCCGAGUCCGGCGGACGAACUUCGCCCACGCCCCCCACCAAGGCUAUAGCCCACCCACUUUUCCGCUGGGGGGUCUUGGCGCCCCGACCUUCGUGGGCUGAUUUUUGGGCGCGGCUGUGCCCGUGACCUAUUUUUGGCACACGGAGGCCGCCCGCAAAGUCUGGGGCCAUUCCGAGUACGGCGGACGAAGUUCGCCCACGCCCCCCACCAAGGCUAUAGCCCACCCAUUUUUUGGCCAUUUUUCCGCUGGGAGGUCUUGGCCUCCCGACCUUCGGGGGCUAAUUUUUGGGCGUGGCUGUGGCCGUGGCCUAUUUUUGGCACACGGAGUCCGCCCGCAAAGUCUGGGGCCAUUCCGAGUCCGGCGGACGAACUUCGCCCACGCCCCCCACCAAGGCUAUAGCCCAACCGUUUUUUGGCGAUUUUUCCGCUGGGGUGUCUUGGCACCCCGACCUUCGGGGGCUGAUUUUUGGGCGCGGCUGUGGCCGUGGCCUAAUUUUGGCACACAGAGGCCGCCCGCAAAGUCUGGGGCCAUUCCGCGCCCGGCGGACGAACUUCGCCCACGCCCCCCACCAAGGCUAUAGCCCACCCGUUUUUUGGCCAUUUUUCCGCUGGGGGGUCUUGGCGCCCCGACAUUCGGGGGCUCAUUUUUGGGGGCGGCGGUGCCCGUGCCUAUUUUGGGCACACGGAGGCCGCCCGCAAAGUCUGGGGCCAUUCCGAGUCCGGCGGACGAACUUCGCCCACGCCCCCCACCAAGGCUAUAGCCCACUCGUUUGUUGGCCAUUUUUCCGCUGGGGGGUCUUGGCGCCCCGACCUUCGGGGGCUGAUUUUUGGGCGCGGCUGUGCCCGUGGCCUAUUUUUGGCACACGGUGGCCGCCCGCAAAGUCUGGGGCCAUUCCGAGUCCGGCGGACGAACUUCGCCCACGCCCCCCACAAAGGCUAUAGCCCACCCGUUUUUUGGCCAUUUUUCCGCUGGGGGGUCUUGGCGCCCCGACCUUCGGGGGCUGAUUUUUGGGCGCGGCUGUGGCCGUGGCCUAUUUUUGGCACACGGAGGCCGCCCGCAAAGUCUGGGGCCAUUCCGAGUGCGGCGGACGAAGUUCGCCCACGCCCCCCACCAAGGCUAUAGCCCACCCAUUUUUUGGCCAUUUUUCCGCUGGGAGGUCUUGGCCUCCCGACCUUCGGGGGCUAAUUUUUGGGCGCGGCUGUGGACGUGGCCUAUUUUUGGCACACGGAGGCCGCCCGCAAAGUCUGGGGCCAUUCCGAGUCCGGCGGACGAACUUCGCCCACACCCCCCAGCAAGGCUAUAGCCCACCCGUUUUUUGGCCAUUUUUCCGCUGGGGUGUCUUGGCGCCCCGACAUUCGGGCGCUGAUUUCUGGACGCGGCUGUGCGCGUGGCCUAUUUUUGGCACACGGAGGCCGCCCGCCAAGUCUGGUGCCAUUCGGAGUCCCGCGGACGAACUUCGCCCACGCCCCCCACCAAGGCUAUAGCCCACCGGUUUUUUGGCCAUUUUUCCGCUGUGGGGUCUUGGGACCCCGACCUUCGGGGGCUGAUUUUUGGGCGCGGCUGUGCCCGUGGCCUAUUUUUGGCACACGGAGGCCGCCCGCCAAGUCUGGUGCCAUUCGGAGUCCCGCGGACGAACUUCGCCCACGCCCCCCACAAAGGCUAUAGCCCACCCAUUUUUUGGCCAUUUUUCCGCUGGGGGGUCUUGGGACCCCGACCUUCGGGGGCUGAUUUUUGGGCGCGGCUGUGCCCGUGGCCUAUUUUUGGCACACGGAGGCCGCCCGCCAAGUCUGGGGCCAUUCCGAGUCCCGCGGAUGAACUUCGCCCACGCCCCCCACAUAGGCUAUAGCCCUCCCGUUUUUUGGCCAUUUUUCCGCUGGGGGGUCUUGGGACCCCGACCUUGGGGGGCUGAUUUUUGGGCACGGCUGUGCCCGUGGCCUAUUUUUCGCACACGGAGGCCGCCCACCAUGUCUGGGGCCAUUCCGAGUCCCGCGGACGAACUUCGCCCACGCCCCCCACAUAGGCUAUAGCCCACCCACUUUUUGGCCAUUUUUCCGCUGGGGGGUCUUGGGACCCCGACCUUCGGGGGCUGCUUUUUGGGCGCGGCUGUGCCCGUGGCCUAUUUUUGUCACACGGAGGCCGCCCGUCAAGUCUGGUGCCAUUCCGAGUCCCGCGGACGAACUUCGCCCACGCCCCCCACCAAGGCUAUAGCCCACCCGUUUUUUGGCCAUUUUUCCGCUGGGGGGUCUUGGGACCCCGACCUUCGGGGGCUGAUUUUUGGGCGCGGCUGUGCCCGUGGCCUAUUUUUGGCACACGGAGGCCGCCCGCCAAGUCUGGGGCCAUUCCGAGUCCCGCGGACGAACUUCGCCCACGCCCCCCACAUAGGCUAUAGCCCACCCAUUUUUUAGCCAUUUUUCCGCUGGGGGGUGUUGGG